This 470-nucleotide ribosomal RNA is filed under the name uncultured bacterium. Its description in RNAcentral is "bacterial SSU rRNA". It matches the Rfam family "Bacterial small subunit ribosomal RNA", at positions 24 to 507 of the family's 1533-position model. The record is from RNAcentral.
UCAGGAUGAACGCUAGCGGCAGGCUUAACACAUGCAAGUCAGGGGCAGCGUGGAGCAGCAAUGCUCUGACGGCGACCGGCGGAAGGGUGCGUAACACGUGAGCGACUUGCCCGUCACAGGGGGAUAACCGGCGGAAACGGCGACUAAUACCCCAUAUGAUGCGAUGCUGCAUGGCAUUGCAUUGAAAGAUUCAUCGGUGGCGGAUAGGCUCGCGGGACAUUAGCUAGACGGCGGGGUAACGGCCCACCAAGGCGACGAUCAGUAGCCGGACUGAGAGGUUGAACGGCCACAUUGGGACUGAGAUACGGCCCAGACUCCUACGGGAGGCAGCAGUGGGGAAUAUUGGGCAAUGGGCGCAAGCCUGACCCAGCAACGCCGCGUGAAGGAAAAAGGCUUUCGGGUUGUAAACUUCUUUUAAGAGGGAAGAGCAGAAGACGGUACCUCUAGAAUAAGCCACGGCUAACUACGUG